GCCUGGCAAUUGUGGAUCUGUUGACAUUAUUUCUAAAACUCAGAAUGAGAAGAAUUACUGAGAUAAUAGAGGCUCUGGUUCCACAAUAGACAAGACACCUGGAGGAGAAGGACACGAUUGACUCAACCAUCCAGAACUCUGUCUUCCAUUAUUGAACCAUCCUUUGGCUCUCUUCUUACACAUGGAUUGGUUUCCUUGGGAGAAGGAAAGGAGGGGCUUCCCAGAAGCUUGACAGGAGUACAUCCCACAGGUGCAUGAUCUGAGGGCACCAGGGUCGGCUGGCUCCAGCUCGGCUGUCAAGCAGAACCUGUUCCCUCAGAAACAAGCUACAGAGAAGACAGCUGAGCCACAUCCGGCAAAGUCCUAAAGAAGGAACGACAGAGGGAAGGGACACCACCGAUGUGCAUGCAGAGGACAGGCCAUCUGAGGACACAGCAAAAAGGUGGCCAACCUCAAGCCAAGCAAAGACACCACAGAAUAAAUCAACCUUGCCGACACCCUGCGCUGAGACUUCCAGCCUGCAGGAACAGCAGCCCUAGCGAAGGAACAUGGUAGCCCACAGUGACGCCCAGCCCUCCCUGACCCCUGCCGAAAGUAAUUCAGUCAGUUUCUUGCCAACCACGAGCCUCAACUAAUAAACAGCCUUCCUCCUGCAGUCUGAUCAGGUCUCCUUCCUCUUCCCCAGGGCCCUGUCUUGAACUUUUUCUGGUAUUUUAUUACAAGCUGCACAUGUGAAGGCUUGUAAAGUAAGGUGGAUGAGUUGAAGUCUUGGCAAAAAUGGAGACAGAAUGUCAGAAAUGGCAGCAAAUAUUUGCUGACACAUGUCAGGGCUUUGUGGACACAUCUGAAUGUUGUGAAUGGACAAAUACUAAUCUCAGCAUCUUUGGAAAAUACAAAUAUCUGUCUGAAAGAACUCAACAUCUAGGUCAUGUCUUCUCAAAGGGGACUGGGGGACAGUCAGGAAGGAGAAAACUGACUCUCAGGUAUGAAAAUAUUCUCCUUCCUAUAUGUAAACCACAGAUACAUAUGUAUGGCACAUGAACAGAUACAGACUGGUGGCUUUAAAAUUCCAUGGGAGGCUGAUCUGGGGAAAAUGUCUAAGAAGUCAUUUGGAGGAGAUGAUAAUAAAAAAGAGUUGAGGAACAUUCACCUACAUGUUUGGUGCAGUGUUAACACCCCUUUCUUGGAGGGCAUUGUGCAGUGGGGGCCUUUGUUCUCAGGGCCUUCACACGGUGAUGCUAACAAGGACAAUUGCAGCGUUCCCAAGUAGAAAAGGGAUGUUUCUACUCAUUGAGUAAAGUCAGACAUAGACAAAACCAUUUAUUCUUGCAACUGAUGGGUAAGGUUCAAAAAGAAGGAACUGGUAAGGGUACAGCAGACACAGUUGGAGGCUUGUCCAAUAGUAUAUCCUCUACAUUUUUUCUUGCUGGCAAAAAUUCCCUCCCAGGGUAGAGGCUGAAAACUGGGUAUGUGGUUUCCCAGCCUCCUUUAUGUUAGAGCAUAAGCACGUGACCCAGUCCCUAGGGAAAGGGACUCCUAACCAAGGAAAAGGGUCUCAAGAGAAGGACUCCUGUCACCCCUUCAGCGGGUUGCUGUCAGAUGCCAUGUGUUGCCCGGCACUUCAGCAGCCACCUUGUGGCCAUGAGGCUCAGGACCCAAGGAGCUAACUACAAAGAAGCAGAAAGAGCAAGAGGAAAGGUCAUUGAUGACAUUGGUCAGUGAAGAGGAAAAUGACAAAUUAAAAAAGUAAUGAACAAAAUCAACUGCACUUUACAACUAAAAUUUGUGAAGCUAAAUUUGGGGAACAAGUAAUCAAGCUCAAUAGAAAAGGGCUAGGUAGAACAAAGAAGUUCUGGGUCUUAGUCCCAUUUCUUAUUACUAGCCAGGGGGAUAACUUAGGGCAAAUGGUUCAGCUUCUCUAAACUUUGGGGGGGAAUGUUUAUCUAGCCCCUCCUCAGAUGGUUUGUUGGUUUGCACUAUUGACUUGGCCAAGCACAAAGUACUUUUACAAGAAUCCCCUUCCCUGGGUAUGUCUAGGUUGCAGCUGGGAAAAAAACAAACAAAUAAACAAA
This is a long non-coding RNA of Manis javanica (Malayan pangolin), 2072 nucleotides long. RefSeq lists it as uncharacterized. NCBI's taxonomy places the organism in Eukaryota, Metazoa, Chordata, Mammalia, Pholidota, Manidae. The record is from RefSeq and is a predicted model, not a curated record.